Molecule: long non-coding RNA, 235 nt
Organism: Dermacentor silvarum
Lineage: Eukaryota; Metazoa; Arthropoda; Arachnida; Ixodida; Ixodidae
Exons: 3
Source: RefSeq, a predicted model, not a curated record
GCUGGUUCUGCCUGACAUGGCGCAAAUUCUUCUGGACGAAGCACUUGCGAGAAAAACCGCAGAAUUGAAGGAGAACAACGAGGCCAUAAAAACUCCUGUUCCGCUUCCUAUGGAAACACUGACCGAUAUAGCGACAAACUGCAUGAAUAUAUUUCUUGGAGGGUACGAUCCGACGAGACUGGCCCUAACCUAUUGGUUUUACGUCAUGGGGAGAUACCCAGAUAUUCAGGAGAAA